RNAcentral lists this non-coding RNA (158 nucleotides) under Seriola dumerili (greater amberjack). The record is from RNAcentral. Lineage: Eukaryota; Metazoa; Chordata; Actinopteri; Carangiformes; Carangidae.
GCGGUCUUGGGCCGCAGCUGCAGUGUGUCUGGGCCGUACGCUGCAGCUGGCCUGUGUGGACCGAGACUAUAACAGGAGGCUGAUGAUCCGUCCUGGCAGUUGCAGGUGUGAGCAUGCAUACAGCUGUCUGAUGCUCAUGUAUGAUACUGCGCACAAAC